GUAGUCCUUGAGUAUUUUAUAACAUGUUGUCCAGGGGUACAUGCACAGUCGUUGUAAACAUGUCCAUUAUCCAUAUCAUGCAAUUCAACCAUACACUGAUACCAACAUUAUGUAGGAAGUACGCCAUCAAUGGUUUCUCUACAUAUGGCACGGUAAUUCGAUUUCAAUAUAAUAUAUGAGUUUGUAAGGCAUGUUGCAUACUGUGGCUUAUCGUACUUGUUUAACUGUACACAGUCGUAAAUCCCACUUGGUCCAUAAUCCGGAUUACAGUGCCGAUAACCAUUACACAGAGUUAUUAAACAUAAUAUAGUAAUUGCUCUGAACACUUGUACUAUAUCCAUGACUUUACAAAC
Molecule: long non-coding RNA, 353 nt
Filed under: Mytilus galloprovincialis (Mediterranean mussel)
Lineage: Eukaryota; Metazoa; Mollusca; Bivalvia; Mytilida; Mytilidae
Source: RNAcentral